Molecule: ribosomal RNA, 292 nt
Filed under: uncultured bacterium
Lineage: Bacteria
Description: partial 16S ribosomal RNA
Rfam family: Bacterial small subunit ribosomal RNA
Source: RNAcentral
GUGUCAGCAGCCGCGGUAAUACGGAGGAUGCAAGCGUUAUCCGGAAUGAUUGGGCGUAAAGCGUCCGUAGGUGGUGAUGCAAGUCUAUUGUCAAAGCGUGCGGCUCAACCGCAUAAAGGCAGUGGAAACUGUGUAACUAGAGUGCAUUCGGGGCAGGGGGAAUUCCUGGUGUAGCGGUGAAAUGCGUAGAGAUCAGGAAGAACACCGGUGGCGAAAGCGCCCUGCUAGGCUGCAACUGACACUGAGGGACGAAAGCUAGGGGAGCGAAUGGGAUUAGAUACCCCAGUAGUCC